GGGGGUACGGCUCAGUGGUAAAGCACGUGUUUAGCAUGCAUGAGGUCCUGUGUUCAAUCCCAGUACCUUCA
This 71-nucleotide transfer RNA is filed under the name Camelus bactrianus (Bactrian camel). It matches the Rfam family "tRNA". Rfam says of the family: Transfer RNA (tRNA) molecules are approximately 80 nucleotides in length. Lineage: Eukaryota; Metazoa; Chordata; Mammalia; Artiodactyla; Camelidae. The record is from Rfam by way of RNAcentral. RNAcentral also lists the same sequence under 2 other names.